GUGGGUAUAGUUCAACGGUAGAGCGCCAGAUUGUGGUUCUGGUUGUUGCGGGUUCAAAUCCCGUUACCCACC
This 72-nucleotide transfer RNA is filed under the name Sediminispirochaeta smaragdinae DSM 11293. RNAcentral's name for it is "tRNA-His (GTG) (tRNA-His-GTG-1-1)". It matches the Rfam family "tRNA". Rfam says of the family: Transfer RNA (tRNA) molecules are approximately 80 nucleotides in length. Their secondary structure includes four short double-helical elements and three loops (D, anti-codon, and T loops). Further hydrogen bonds mediate the characteristic L-shaped molecular structure. tRNAs have two regions of fundamental functional importance: the anti-codon, which is responsible for specific mRNA codon recognition, and the 3' end, to which the tRNAs corresponding amino acid is attached (by aminoacyl-tRNA synthetases). tRNAs cope with the degeneracy of the genetic code in two manners: having more than one tRNA (with a specific anti-codon) for a particular amino acid; and 'wobble' base-pairing, i.e. permitting non-standard base-pairing at the 3rd anti-codon position. Lineage: Bacteria; Pseudomonadati; Spirochaetota; Spirochaetia; Spirochaetales; Spirochaetaceae. The record is from Rfam by way of RNAcentral.